GAUUAACGCUGGCGGCGUGCCUAACACAUGCAAGUCGAGCGGCAGCGAGUUUUACACUGAAUUCUGGAAGCUUCUAGUUGAAAGAGAAGAUUUAUUCAAGAAUUUUUUGUAAAAUGUCGGCGAGCGGCGGACGGCUGAGUAACGCGUGGGAACGUACCCCAAAGUGAGGGAUAACGCAUCGAAAGGUGUGCUAAUACCGCAUAUGGUCUUCGGAUUAAAGCCUUCGGGCGCUUUGGGAACGGCCUGCGUAAGAUUAGAUAGUUGGUGGGGUAAUGGCCUACCAAGUCGACGAUCUUUAACUGGUUUGAGAGGAUGAUCAGUCAGACUGGAACUGAGACACGGUCCAGACUCCUACGGGAGGCAGCAGUGAGGAAUCUUCCACAAUGGGCGAAAGCCUGAUGGAGCAACGCCGCGUGCAGGAUGAAGGCCUUCGGGUUGUAAACUGCUUUUAUAAGUGAGGAUUAUGACAGUAACUUAUGAAUAAGGAUCGGCUAACUACGUG
RNAcentral lists this ribosomal RNA (502 nucleotides) under uncultured bacterium. RNAcentral's name for it is "partial 16S ribosomal RNA". It matches the Rfam family "Bacterial small subunit ribosomal RNA", at positions 28 to 507 of the family's 1533-position model. The record is from RNAcentral.